RNAcentral lists this long non-coding RNA (6095 nucleotides) under Sus scrofa (pig). Its description in RNAcentral is "lncRNA (ENSSSCG00060005160.1)". Lineage: Eukaryota; Metazoa; Chordata; Mammalia; Artiodactyla; Suidae. The record is from RNAcentral.
GUUUUCUUGUUCCCAUUUUUCAUGUUGCUCUGUCCUCCCUCAUCACCAGGCAACCACUGAUCUGUGUUUGUCACUAUAAAUUGGUUGGCAUUUUCUCAAAUGAAUGGAAUCACACGUACUCCAUUUUGUGUCCUUCUUUCACCCAGCAUAAUUAUUUUGAGAUUCAUCUACGCUACUGCAUUUGUCAAGUGUUUAUUCCUUUCUUUUUUCUAAUGGCUGCAUCCACAGCAUAUGGAAGUUCCCAGGCUAGGGUUCAAAUCGGAGCUGCAGCUGCAGGCCUAUACCACAACCACAACAAUUCGGGAUCCAAGCCUCAUCUGCCACCUAGACCACAGCUUGUGACAACGCCAGAUCCGUACGUAACUCACUGAUAAAACCUGCCUCCUCACACAGACUAUGUCAGGUUCUUAAGCCACUGAACCACUGUGGGAACUCCUAUUUUCUCUUCUUUCUUUCUUUUUUUUUUUUUUUUUAGAUAGUUACUCCUUUUACUGCUGAGUAGUAGUCCAUUGUUUGGAUAUACCACAAUCUGUUUAUCCAUUUAGCUGUUGAUGCAUAUUUAGGAUGUUUUUAGUUUGAGCCUAUUACAAAUUAAGCUGAUAUGGACAUUCAUUUAAAAUCUUUGUAUGGACAUCUGAUUUCUGUAUUAACAACAAAUUUCUGAUGUUAGGGACAUCUGGUGAUCUUGGAGAGGCUGUCCCUCCAGUCAAGUGCACAUUUCAUGUGCUAACGAACCAACCUGGAGCACUUAAUCCCCAAUGCCUCUAUUUUAGUGCUCUUACACCCUAGGCUACCAUCCACCUGCCCUGACUACCCCAGGGCCAGGUAUGAGACAGUUAGGAGCAACCUCCACACUCUGGAGCCUGGGAAAUCAUUCUAGCUAGCCCCUCAAAUCCUGCCUAGCCUGCUAACCCUGACUCACUCAUUCCUUUUUAUAAAAGCCACAAUAAAGCAUCCUGCCUGCAUCUUCCCCCCACUCCUUUUGCCUCCUCUUGACCCAGGUGCUUCCCCAGCUGGCACCCCUGCUUCCUGUGCCAUGCCUCCUACUUCUAGGGAGCUGUAAGUAAAACAUCUUCCUUCCUGACCAUUGUUUCUGUGUCUGCAUAUCUUAGCAGACCUGAUUAAAAUAAAUUCCCAGGUACAUCUUAAAACGCUUUCAUUGCUCUUCGGUAAAUCCUAGGAGCAAAAUGGCUGGAUCACCUGGUAGGUAUAUGUAAAGUUUUUAAGAGACUACCAGACUUUCCAGAUUUCCCAAGUUGCUUUUGCCGCCCUACACCACAGACACAGCAACACCAGAGCCUUAACCUGCUGAGCGAGGCCAGGGAUCAAACCCAUGUCCUCAUGGAUGCUACUCAGGUUCAUUAACCACUGAGCCAUGAUGGAAACUCCAAUUUUAACCAUUCUAAAAAUCUAUGUAUCUCAUUGUGGUUUUAAUUUGUACACCCUUUAUGAACAACUAUAGGGAAUAUUUUUUGUGCCUAUUUCCCAUCCUUAUAUCUUCUUUGGCGAUAUAUCUAUUCAAAUCUUUUGUUCACUUUUUUAUUGUUUUUUUUUUUCCUUUUGAUUGAGUUUUGAGAGUUCUUUAUAUAUUCUAAAUAAAAACACUUUAUCAGGUAUAUGAUUUGUGAAAUCUUCCUGACUUAUCUUUGUUCCAUUAACAGUGUCUUUUGAAGAGCAGAAGUUUUAAAUUUUUAUGAGUCCAUUUUGUCAUUUUGUUCUUUUAUGGAUUUUAGUUUUGUUGUCGUAUCUAAAAAGUCUUUGCCUGACCCAAGGUCACAAAGAUUUUUUCUCUUCUCGUCUAUAGGUCUUAUAGUUUUUGGUUUCACAGUUAGGUCUGUGAUUGAUUUAUGUAGUGCUACUUUUUUACCUGGUGCGAGAUACCACCUGAAGUAUAUUUGCUCUUUUUUUUUUUUUUUUUCAUAUAGAUAUCCAAUUGUUCCAGCACCAUUUAUUGACAAGACUAUUAUUUCCCUUAGAAUUGCCUUUGUAUCUUUUUCAAAAAUCAGCCGUCCAUAUACAUGUGGGUCUAUUUCCGGAUUCCAUAUCCUGAGAUCUCUUUGUCGAUCUUUCUGCUAAUUCUACAUUGUCUUCAUCACUACAGCUUAUAGCUUUACAGUAAGUCAUGAAAUCGGAUAGAGUUAGUUCUGCAAUUUUUUUCUUCAUUUUCGAAGUUGUUGGAUAUAUAGUUAGAAUCAUUUUGUCAAUUUCUCCACAAAAACCUGGGCUUUCAAUCAAAAUACAUCAAUUUGGGGAAAACGUACAUCUUAGUAGUAUUAAAUCAUCCAUCCCACAAACACAGUAUAUAUCUCUCCAUUUAUGUAGGUCUUCUGUAACCUUUCAAGCAAUACUUUGUUUUCAGUUACAUAUAUUGCCCAUUUUUUGUGAAAUUUAUCCCUAAGAAUUUCACUCUUUUGAUGCUAUGUGAAUGAUAUUCUUUCCUUACUUUCAACUUCCACUUGGAAAGAAAAAUGUCGUGAUGACAAACUUCACCGCUCCGUUUGCAUAGAGAAAAGUAAAACCAUGGUUUCCCUGUUCUAUCUUGGCCUCUAUCUCUCUCAAGUUCUACAAAUGCCUCUCAAACUAAAUGCCAUGAGUCUUGUAAUAAGGCUGACAAUGGAACCAUAUUGUCCAGAAGGAGUUAACUGUGCUGUCCUCUUUUGCAAAAGCAGCUCAGCAAACUGAGUAUAUUAAAGACACACGUGUCUAGGGCUUGUAAGAAUUCUGUCAGGAGUGUGUAAUAGGGAUAAAUUACUCUUGCCAUGAGAACUUCAACUUUUGCACUUCCUGGCUUUACUGUGGCUAAAAUUGAAAUACCAACGUGGUACUCCCCAAAGUGCUUGAAUUUAAUAGCACUAAUUACCAGGCCCCCACAAGGCUAUAAAUCCUUAUUUUAAAAUUCAACUAUUUGUAAUUCCUAGGAGAGCUUAAAUUUCAGUUCCUUACCUGUAAACUUUUCAAAAAGCAAUCAACCUUACUUCUGACAUUGUCUUUAUAAGAAGUGAGUGUGCAACUCUGUCUCCCCAAAGAAGUGGUUGACCUCACAAACUAUCUCUUGGUCUAAAUGUGGCUGGAUCUCAUCUUCUCUUCUGUAAAACUGUUAUUCUCUCAGGGCCCUGAGGAAAUGUGUUCUGGUAAAUCCCUUCAGCAUAAAAUAUUAAGAACAGAGAGCAGGUUAACUCUCCUAAGAGUAUUUGCAUUUCAGAAGACUAUAAAUAGGCAGGCAUCAGGGGAAGAAGGAUAUGGAUGGGCAAGAAAGCCUCCAGUAUCCCCUCAGAUCUCAUUAUUAGGCACACCUUUUGGUAGUUCUGAUCGGGUCUUUUCCUCUGACAAUGUGAAGGUUGGGCUUUAACUCUUGAAAAAUGCUAAUAAGGCACACAAGGCUUUACGUCCCUAUAUCCCCAGCUGUUUAACAGUAGAUCAUGGAUCUUCCUUCCAGCCUGCCUGCUUCCUCCCUUCGUCCCUUCCUCCCUCUUUCCCUUUCUCUCUGACUCUCUUUUCCUUCCUCCCUUCCCCUUCCUUUCCUCUCUCACUCCUUCCCUACCUUCCUCCCUCCCCACCCCCAUUCCUUCAUAGGAAAGUUGAAAAGAUACCACACGAUAUAGGAAGUCACCCCAAAGAAAGUUCAUAGCCAAGUGGAGUUGCCAUUAUUACCAACAUUCAACUUCUUCCUUAUGAUGCCAGCCUCUCAGGCACUGGCACUACUUGGUGACGUUUACUAAACCCCCACUGUUCAAAGUCUCAAAUGUCCUUCAAUCCCCAGAGUUAAUGUGGGGAGCCAGGAAAGACUCCCCAAAGGCAAGGGGGAUGGUGAACCAAGCUCAGGUCUCCUCAUGCAUGGAGACUGAUGGUGAGAAGGAAACGGUUAAGAAAUGCUAACUAGAUAGCAUCUCUUUAGAAAAGCUUUGUAAAUUAAGUGCACUCAAACUGAUCUCUUGACACAGUCCAAGCAGAGGAAUAAGGGUGGGAUCACUCAGGUACCAGGUAGUGCCUUUAAGACAACAGGCACACAGCAUAAGUAUAUCCCAUGCCCUAAAUGCAGUUUUUCAAAAAGUGUCCACGUGCCUGAACUGGUUAAGAAAAUAAUAAAAUUUGAGUUCACUGACAAAAUAUAAAAUUUGAGUUCCCUGACAUCAAAAAUCUUUUCUGCCAAGUCCAGGGCAGGGAAAGAUCAGCCUCUGGAACAUUUCUAGUUCUCCAAAUACAUGAAAAUAGCAGGAAGAGUCUGUGCACAUUUAAAGGAAGUCUGCCUGAAGCCACGCUUUGUAUUCACUCUUCUCUGGGAAUGAUUUGUCCCAGGUUUUCCAAUGGGAAGUUGAGCACAGGCUGACGCCUGCCAUGAAUUGUCCUUAAGGAGGCGCUGUUGGCAUUUGGCAGGGCCACCCUCUCCCCUCUCCAGCCCUGUUGGCAGAGACAGAGCUGAGACAGGUCCUUGAGCAGAGAAAGUGCAUGUCUUUCCUGUAUGAGAAGGGACAAAAAGAUGGCCUUAUCCCUGAGUACCUCAGCACUGUGCCUGUAUCAGCUACCUGUGGCUUCACAAAAAGUGACCUCUCCAGAUGUCAGCCUAAAUAAUACAUGUUUACUAUCCCACAGAUUUUUUUUUAUUACUGGUAUCAAUCAGGAAUACCAAAAAUAAAAAACCACCAGCUGGAUGGUUCAGACUCAAAGUUUCCUCUGAGGUUACAGUCAAGCUGUUGGAGCCUGUAUUUCCAAGCUCAUUCACAUGUUGCUGGAUGCUGGCUGAGUACCUCACUUCCUCCCCAUGUGGGCCUGUCCAUAGACUGUCUGAGCAUCCCUCAUACCAUGGCAGCUGGUUUUCCCCAGAUUAAGUGACCUAAGAGAGAAGGGCCAAGAUGGCAGCCACAGUCUUUUGCAACCUAAUCUUGAAAGUGACAUAUCACUUCUGCCAUAUUCUGUGAUCAAAUGGACAAACUGGUAUAACACAGGAGGGGGCUAUACAAGGGUGUGACUAUUAGGAGGUGGGGAUUUUGCAAGGGGAGCCUUGAAGGCUGCCUCCCCCAGACCUAUCAUCUAACUGUGCUGAGAACACAGUCAUCCCUAGUGUUUGAUACAGUGUAUACCAAGUAACAUAGUUUAGAGGUCCUGCAAUGGAGAAGCAAGAGUGGUGAGCUGGGAGAAGUUUGAAUUCAAGGUCAGCUGUGGCAAUUAUAAUCGCUAUGUGAAUUUGGAAUGCUGCUUAACAUUUUUGAAUAUCUGUUAUCUUAUAUCUGAGAAUUUUCAUCAAUAAUCACAAAGAUAUUGGAGUUCUCCUGCGGCACAGCAGGUUAAGGGUCUAGCAUUGCAACUGAAGUGACUCUGGUUGCUGCUGUGGUACAGGCUUGAUCCCUGGCCGAGGAACUUCCACAUGCCAUGAGUGCAGCCAAAAAAAACAAAAACAAAUACACAAACAAAUAAAAAUCACAAAGGUAUCUUUCACCUCUGAAAUUCCAUGCUGAAAAGAAAUAUUCCAUUUGGGGCAUGAAUGUUAUGAAGGUGAUUUUAAUAAAAUGGGCAAUUCCAAUGAGAUUUCUUUUAUUUCAAAGUAAUAAACCAACUAGAGAAAUGGUACCUUAGAGCUUUAUUGGCUCUUAUUUCUUUUUCAUUCAUUAUCCAUAUUUUGUUCUAGUAGGUAAGUCUCACAAUAACAUAUUUUUAUUUGUAUAAUGCUUUAAGAUAUAACAUACAAAUUUUAAUAUGCAAGUGAAUUCAUCCAUAAACCCCGUUAGGCAUAGAAAGGUAUUGGGCAUAGGAAAAUUUGUAGCUCUAUUUUUCCAUUUCCGGGUAGCUGAUGUUCACGAAUGACAGUCGGGCCAGAGGUACAAUAAGGAUACUCCCUGGCACAUGACCCAAAUAAACAGAUGGAAAUGCUCAUUUAUGUCUGAAAUCUCUAAGUCUAGGGAGUUCCCAUUUUGUGGCUUAGCAGGUUAAGAACCCAACACAGUGUCAGUGAGGAUGCAUGUUCAAUCCCUGGUCUCACUCAGUGGGUUAAGGAUCUGCUGUUGCCACAACUGUGGUGUAGGCCUGCAGCUGCAGCUCCAUUUGACCCCUAGCCUGGGAACUUUCAUAUGUCCCAGGUGCAGCUGUAAAAAAAAAAAAAA